UUUUAACCUCUUUCCCCCCGCGGCUGCCUUUUUCACCUCUUGUUUUUCCCCCUGUGCCCCCUCUGUCCCCUGUUCCUGUGCUGGGUCCGAGCUGGGGCCGGGCCAGGUGGAGCAGCAGUUCCAGCCCCGGCUGUCCCUGGAGCGGUGGGAGCUGCCGGUGGCCCCAGGCACUGUCCCCUGAGGAGCUGCUGAGGGACGCUGUCCUGAAGACCUUGAGGCCAGCCAGACACUGCCAGCAGCCAGCAGGGAGAAGCUGAAGGCCAGGAGCGAGAGCAGUGAACAGGGAACUGCUGCUGCCACCCCAAGAGCCUGGGUGAGGCCACAGGGCCAGUGAGGCCGGGCAGGGCUGAGGGUGGCGUGGGCUUUGGCCGUGGGCGCUGCCCGGCUGGGCAGGAGCGGCCCCUGCCCGUGCUGGGGCUGCUCAGCGCUGCUGCCCCGGCCGGCACAGGGGCUGUCCUUGGGCAAGGCAGCUGUGCCGGCAGGGCCCGGGAGCUGUGCCGGCCUGCCGGGGGAUGCAGGACAGUCCCGCUGCGACUGCGCUCGCCACACGCUGGCCUGCUUGGCCUGCUUGUUCUUUCAGCCCUCCUUGGGAGGCUCUGAGAUUUUUGCUUCCCUGCUGGAAGUGCAGGUGCUGCCAAGGGAAAGGUCCCAAUACUGACCCUGUGUUCCCUUUGCCUCUCUAAUAGAGACAUACUGAUAUUUUUGUAUUUAUAUAUAAGGCUGUAUGGUUGUCAGAAUACGCAAUAAUUUAAGUUGUUAAUCUUCAGUGUUAUUGAGUGUAGUGAGUGGUUGUAGAGGUUUGCAUUAAACUAGUUUCUGUUAACAGAA
This is a non-coding RNA of Cyanistes caeruleus (blue tit), 828 nucleotides long. Lineage: Eukaryota; Metazoa; Chordata; Aves; Passeriformes; Paridae. The record is from RefSeq and is a predicted model, not a curated record.